GACGAACGCUGGCGGCGUGCUUAACACAUGCAAGUCGAACGGAAAGGCCCUGCUUUUGUGGGUUUCUCGAUUGGCGAACGGGUGAGUAACACGUGAGUAACCUGCCCUUGUCUUUGGGAUAACUUCAGGAAACUGGGGCUCAUACCGGAUAGGAGCUCCUGCUGCAUGUUGGUGGUUGGAAAGUUUCGGCGUUUGUGGAUGGACUCGCGGCUUAUCAGCUUGUUGGUGGGGUAGUGGCGUACAAAGGAUUUGACGGGUAGCCGGCCUGGGAGGGUGACCGGCCACAUUGGGACUGGGGUACGGCCCAGAGGCAUACGGGAGGCAGGAGUGGGGAAUAGAGCAAAAUGGGCGGAAGGAUGAUGGAGGAACGUCGGAUGGGGGAUGACGGCUAUCGGGUAGUAAAAAGCGUUCGACUGUGACGAAGCGUGAGUGACGGUAAUGGGUAAAGAAGCACCGGCUAACUACGU
RNAcentral lists this ribosomal RNA (467 nucleotides) under uncultured bacterium. RNAcentral's name for it is "partial 16S ribosomal RNA". It matches the Rfam family "Bacterial small subunit ribosomal RNA", at positions 28 to 506 of the family's 1533-position model. The record is from RNAcentral.